This 245-nucleotide ribosomal RNA is filed under the name Alexandrium margalefii. Its description in RNAcentral is "partial Bacterial large subunit ribosomal RNA". It matches the Rfam family "Bacterial large subunit ribosomal RNA", at positions 585 to 831 of the family's 2925-position model. Lineage: Eukaryota; Dinophyceae; Gonyaulacales; Pyrocystaceae. The record is from RNAcentral.
UUUACGGGGUGACCGCGUACCUUUUGUAUAAUGGGUCAGCGAGUUAGUCUGGCGAGCAAGCCUAAGCCGAUAGGUGGAGGCACAGCGAAAGCGAGUCUUAAGAGGGCGUCGAGUUCGUCGGAUUAGACCCGAAACCGGGUGAUCUAGCCAUGGGCAGGUUGAAGGUGCGGUAACACGCACUGGAGGACCGAACCCACCUAUGUUGAAAAAUGGGGGGAUGACCUGUGGCUAGGGGUGAAAGGCCA